RNAcentral lists this long non-coding RNA (1230 nucleotides) under Mytilus galloprovincialis (Mediterranean mussel). The record is from RNAcentral. Lineage: Eukaryota; Metazoa; Mollusca; Bivalvia; Mytilida; Mytilidae.
CUGAAUUUAUCCCUAACUAAAAAUUUGAGCUUUUUUUCUUACCUAUUAAUUAAAUCCAUAAAUUUAAAAGCAAUACACCAAACUAUUAAACAACUUGGUAUUCCAUAAGGUCAAAAUAAUUUAUAAGAUAGUCCGAACAGAAAAUUUUAGCUUUUUUAAUCCUUAAUUAAAUCCUUAAAGUUGACAGAAAUGAACCAAGCUACCAGUUUUUGAGUGCCCGCAAAAGAAAUUUCUUACACACCGAUAAAAUGGAUAAAAAAUUUUCCUAUAAAAUAUGUUCUGGCCCAUCCACUAAAUAUUUUAAAAAAAGUUCUCGCCCAUCCAAAUAUUUCCACAAAAAAAGUGCUUGCCCCGCCCCAUUUUGCCCCGGCCCAGCCAUCUGAUAAAUAUUGAACGGUCCCUAAGAACAUAAAAUACAUGUAACAGUAUUUUAUGUAAAACGUUAGGUACCUGUUUCUAUGCAGUUGUAUAGGUACAUUCGGAGCCAAAAAAUAAGAAAAAAAGGCACAACAUUGAAAUGUCACCUUAAUAAAUAUAAAAGUCAGAAGAAAGAUUAAAAGUUUCAUACAAUACCACAAAAAAAAAACAGUCAAGUAUACAAUUAUUGUGAAGUGUGAAUUUAUGUACUAAAAGUGCAAUCGGAUCAGAUUCACAUCAGAAUUUUUGUUUUUUGCAAUAUUUUAUAGUAAAAAACGCUCGUAAACCAGGUGUGGAAGAAUAAAGUAUUUACACGUCAGCCUAACGAUCACUAAAGUAAGCUUAAAACCUUUAAUAAUUUGACUUUAAUGUUUUCUAUAUAUAUAUAUAUAUAUCAGCAACAAACAAAUUGGUUUAUCAUAGUUUUUUUUUAAUUUACAGUCUUGUCACUAUUUAGUUGUUACAUGUUUUAUGACAGACUGAGGUUAAUUUUGCAUUUAGAUGAUUGAGUAAUAAAAAAAUAAAGUGUACGAAGACACCAUGUUAUCGUGUCUCCCAAAAGGCAGGAAGCUGUUGAGUGCUUGUCACCUCUUAAAAUAUUUUGUCGUUAUAACUGUGUUUAAUUCAUUACUAUCUUAUAUAGACCUCGUUUUACUUAAUACGAUUUAGUCGUUAAUCUAUUGUGUUCUCACUUAUCCAUGAUCUUAUUGGUUUUGUUCUUUGAAUGCUGUUAAAAUUAGUUACUCUAAUUUUUGUGCUAUUUUCACAUUUCCUGACCGGUGUGAGAAAAAUAUUUCUCCUCACUAGUGAAAA